UAAGACAGGGGACCCGAGCGUUAGUCGGAAUUACUGGGCUUAAAGGGUGCGUAGGCGGACCUGUAAGUGUCGUGUGAAAGCCCACCGCUCAACGGUGGAACUGCACGGCAAACUGCAGGUCUCGAGGUUGGUAGAGGCGGGUGGAACGAUUGGUGGAGCGGUGGAAUGCGUAGAUAUCAAUCGGAACGCCAAAGGUGAAGACAGCCCGCUGGGCCAAUCCUGACGCUGAGGCACGAAAGCGUGGGGAGCAAACAGGAUUAGAUACCCUGGUAGUCCACGCCCUAAACGAUGUGUGCUGAAUCACGGCAGCUCUGACGCUGUCGGGAUUGUAGAGAAAUUGGUAAGCACACCGCCUGGGGAGUACGGUCGCAAGGCUA
Molecule: ribosomal RNA, 377 nt
Filed under: uncultured bacterium
Lineage: Bacteria
Description: bacterial SSU rRNA
Rfam family: Bacterial small subunit ribosomal RNA
Source: RNAcentral